GACGAACGCUGGCGGCGUGCCUAAUACAUGCAAGUAGAACGCUGAAGGAGGAGCUUGCUCUUCUGGAUGAGUUGCGAACGGGUGAGUAACGCGUAGGUAACCUGCCUGGUAGCGGGGGAUAACUAUUGGAAACGAUAGCUAAUACCGCAUAACAGUAGAUGUUGCAUGACAUUUACUUAAAAGGUGCAAUUGCAUCACUACCAGAUGGACCUGCGUUGUAUUAGCUAGUUGGUGGGGUAAAGGCUCACCAAGGCGACGAUACAUAGCCCACCGGAGAGGGGGAUCGGCCGCACUGGGACUGAGACACGGCCCAGACUCCUACGGGAGGCAGCAGUAGGGAAUCUUCGGCAAUGGGCGGAAGUCUGACCGAGCAACGCCGCGUGAGGGAAGAAGGUUUUCGGAUCGUAAAGCUCUGUUGUAAGGGAAGAACGAGUGUGAGAGUGGAAAGUUCACACUGUGACGGUAUCUUACCAGAAAGGGACGGCUAACUACGUG
Molecule: ribosomal RNA, 495 nt
Filed under: uncultured bacterium
Lineage: Bacteria
Description: partial 16S ribosomal RNA
Rfam family: Bacterial small subunit ribosomal RNA
Source: RNAcentral